This 914-nucleotide ribosomal RNA is filed under the name Pyrenophora triseptata. Its description in RNAcentral is "LSU rRNA". It matches the Rfam family "Eukaryotic large subunit ribosomal RNA", at positions 35 to 967 of the family's 3401-position model. The record is from RNAcentral. Lineage: Eukaryota; Fungi; Ascomycota; Dothideomycetes; Pleosporales; Pleosporaceae.
UAAGCAUAUCAAUAAGCGGAGGAAAAGAAACCAACAGGGAUUGCCCUAGUAACGGCGAGUGAAGCGGCAACAGCUCAAAUUUGAAAUCUGGCUCUUUCAGAGUCCGAGUUGUAAUUUGCAGAGGGCGCUUUGGCUUUGGCAGCGGUCCAAGUUCCUUGGAACAGGACGUCACAGAGGGUGAGAAUCCCGUACGUGGUCGCUAGCUAUUGCCGUGUAAAGCCCCUUCGACGAGUCGAGUUGUUUGGGAAUGCAGCUCUAAAUGGGAGGUAAAUUUCUUCUAAAGCUAAAUACUGGCCAGAGACCGAUAGCGCACAAGUAGAGUGAUCGAAAGAUGAAAAGCACUUUGGAAAGAGAGUCAAACAGCACGUGAAAUUGUUGAAAGGGAAGCGCUUGCAGCCAGACUUGCUUGCAGUUGCUCAUCCGGGCUCUUGCCCGGUGCACUCUUCUGCAGGCAGGCCAGCAUCAGUUUGGGCGGUGGGAUAAAGGUCUCUGUCACGUACCUCUCUUCGGGGAGGCCUUAUAGGGGAGACGACAUACCACCAGCCUGGACUGAGGUCCGCGCAUUCGCUAGGAUGCUGGCGUAAUGGCUGUAAGCGGCCCGUCUUGAAACACGGACCAAGGAGUCUAACAUCUAUGCGAGUGUUUGGGUGUCAAGCCCGAACGCGUAAUGAAAGUGAACGGAGGUGGGAACCCGCAAGGGUGCACCAUCGACCGAUCCUGAUGUCUUCGGAAGGAUUUGAGUAAGAGCAUGGCUGUUGGGACCCGAAAGAUGGUGAACUAUGCUUGAAUAGGGUGAAGCCAGAGGAAACUCUGGUGGAGGCUCGCAGCGGUUCUGACGUGCAAAUCGAUCGUCAAAUUUGGGCAUAGGGGCGAAAGACUAAUCGAACUAUCUAGUAGCUGGUUCCUGCCGAAGU